UACGUAGGGGGCAAGCGUUGUCCGGAUUCAUUGGGCGUAAAGAGCGUGUAGGCGGCCAGGUAGGUCGGUUGUGAAAACUGGAGGCUCAACCUUCAGAGGUCGACCGAAACCAUCUGGCUAGAGUCCGGGAGAGGAGAGUGGAAUUCCUGGUGUAGCGGUGAAAUGCGCAGAUAUCAUGAAGAACACCCGUGGCGAAAGCGGCUCUCUGGAACGGUACUGACGCUGAGACGCGAAAGCGUGGGGAGCGAACAGG
This 253-nucleotide ribosomal RNA is filed under the name uncultured bacterium. RNAcentral describes it as "partial 16S ribosomal RNA". It matches the Rfam family "Bacterial small subunit ribosomal RNA", at positions 524 to 776 of the family's 1533-position model. The record is from RNAcentral.